Molecule: long non-coding RNA, 1239 nt
Filed under: Marmota monax (woodchuck)
Lineage: Eukaryota; Metazoa; Chordata; Mammalia; Rodentia; Sciuridae
Source: RNAcentral
AUGUUGUCCAAUUUGGCCUCUAACUCCUGGGUUCAAGCAAUCCUCCUGUUUCAGCCUCUCAAUUAACUUGGACGGCAGCCCCAUGCCACUGUGUUCAGCUAAUAGUUUCUUAACCUGAGAGAACAUUCUGUAGUUAAGAGUCCCAUAUUAAGGGCCAGGUGGCAGUGGCGCAGCCAGUAAUUCCUGCAACUUGGGAGGCUGAGGCAGGAGGAUCACAAGUUCAAGGCUAGCCUCAGCAACUUAGCAAGAUCCUUGCCUCUAAAUAAAUAAAUUAAUUAAAAUGCCCCUAGGUUCAAUCCCCAGUACAAAAAAGAAAAAAGUCCAUAUCAAGUAAUCCUGACUCCAUCAACUGCUAGUUAGAACCUGUGUCUUCCAAUAGCCCUGAACUGUCCAUCAAGAACACCCAAGAAACACCUGGAGAAGACACCAUGGAGGUCAGAGCCACUUGCACUCAGCUUCACAAGCACUAAGUUUGAUUGCCAGCUUUGCCCUCCCCAGCUCCAGGGCUCUGAGCCUUUUUGGAGGACAGACCCUAACCUCACAUCUGCUAGCUUUCAGGAAGCUGUCCUUCUCAGGAUGUGAAGGGGCAGGGGUCUUUAGAAGAACACAAGUUCCUCUAGCCCUUGUCUGCUGCAGACUUUUCUUGCAGGCACUGGGGACUCGGUGGAUAUUUGGACAAAUUACACCUUGCACCUUUCUCUCCCCGUCCCCUUCCUGCUCUGAGCUCCCUCCUUUCUAAAAGGUAUAUUAACUGGAAACAAUUCUUCCAUUUUCAGAAGUCCCUGCAGGGAGUCAAAGCAAUCCUCCCCCAAUCAAACCACCUUGCCCCAGACAGUGGCUGCCUUUCUGCAUUUCCCCAGGGGCUGGACUUAACAGAGCUGCCCCUACUCUCAGAUGAGGGGAACCCAAAACCUAUUUAUACCAGGAGGAGGAAUUUGGCAGAGAUUCUUUCCCUGGGCACCCCGAGGGGGAAAGCAAACAGAAGCUUUUUUUUCCCCCUUUAUCAUUUCCUGUAGUUUAAAAAAAAACAGGAGAGGAAUGCAAACAUGCAGGAGAUAAUGUAUUUAAGCACCAGGUAAUAAAAAGAUUUAGCAAGAACGGCCAGGGGAGCCGCACAGCCAGAUAAGCCCCGCCCCCGCACCGACUCAGUCUUGACGACCGUCCAAAGCUGCCCGCCUCUGCGCUGGAUCUGCAGGGCUUCGCUUCCUGUCCCUAACUCUGUCCUACCCCUCAUCUAAG